UCCGGCCACAUCACGUUGAAACGCAGGUUCCAAUAUGAUCACCGAAGUUAGGCAACGUCGAGCCUGGUCAAUACCUAGAUGGGUGACCACUUGGGAAUACCAGGUGCUGUAAU
This is a non-coding RNA of Acanthosepion pharaonis, 113 nucleotides long. The record is from the annotation of a GenBank genome assembly. NCBI's taxonomy places the organism in Eukaryota, Metazoa, Mollusca, Cephalopoda, Sepiida, Sepiidae.